Long non-coding RNA from Sycon ciliatum, 1048 nucleotides. RefSeq lists it as uncharacterized. The transcript has 8 exons. NCBI's taxonomy places the organism in Eukaryota, Metazoa, Porifera, Calcarea, Leucosolenida, Sycettidae. The record is from RefSeq and is a predicted model, not a curated record.
GAUCCGGGUGGCGAUGGUCAGUUCUUGAGCUUCGAACUGGCAGAAAGCUAUACAAGAAGAUCAGGGUGGCGAUGGUCAGUUCUUGAGCUACGAAAAGGCAGAAAGCUAUACAAAAAGAUCAGGGUGGCGAUGGUCAGUUCUUGAGCUUCGAACUGGCAGAAAGCUAUGCAAAAGGAUCAGGGUGGCAAUCGUCAGUUCUUGAGCUUCGAACAGGCAGAAAGCUUUGCAACAAUAUCCGUAUGGCGAUGGUCAGUUCUUGAGCUUCGAACAAGCAGAAAGCUAUGCAACAAGAUCCCGGUGGCUAUGGUCAGUUCUUGAGCUUCGAACUGGCAGAAAGCUAUAGAACAAGAUCAGGGUGGCAAUAGUCAGUUCUUGAGCUUCGAACGGGCAGAAAGGAGGAGGCCAGCUGAGACACUAUAGUUGUGAUGAUGAAAGUUGGGCAAUGAUGAAUACAAGCAAAAGGCUGUUCAAAGAAUUUCCAACUACAACCCUGCAGACCGGGAGCCAAAUGAACAGGACCUCGACCAGCUUCAAUAACAUCUGAACAUGUUUCUAUAAGGAAGAGUUGACAAGGUACCUGAACAUUACAAUGACUCUUGCCAUCUUGAAAGAACACUCCGCACGCGCACACACGCGAACGGUUUUUUUUGCUUGUUGGCCCGCACACUGCUUGGCGUUUAGAAUAUACAUAUGCCUUGUUACUGUGCAGAUACAUUGUGUCUGGUAUAGCGAAAUAUGACCAGCACUUGAUUGUAUUGGGAUGAGUGGCCUUUUGGAUUAUAAUGGAACUUGGACUUCACUCCUAUGAAUCAGAUACUGCCAGGCUGCCAAGGAUGUGCACACACAACUGCUUUGUUCACGGGACAAAAUCCGGUGGCCCGCACUCCACCGGAUUAUAUACUGCAUUGCAUUGCUGGUGCCAAUGUAGUGUACUUUAUGUAUGGAGAUUUGUGAUGACCUUGGUGUAUGCUAUUUACUGUUGCUAACAUGCAAAAUUCCUACUCCGUCUAGACAAAGCCUUGUAAAUUUGAGUUUCCAAAUUUUCGAU